UACGUAGGGUGCGAGCGUUAAUCGGAAUCAUUGGGCGUAAAGCGCACGUAGGCGGCCCAGCAAGUGGGGAGUGAAAGCCCUCGGCUUAACCGAGGAAGUGCUUUCCGAACUACUGGGCUUGAAUACUGGAGAGGGUCGCGGAAUUCCCGGUGUAGAGGUGAAAUUCGUAGAUAUCGGGAGGAACACCAGUGGCGAAGGCGGCGACCUGGACAGAUAUUGACGCUGAGGUGCGAAAGCGUGGGGAGCAAACAGG
RNAcentral lists this ribosomal RNA (253 nucleotides) under uncultured bacterium. Its description in RNAcentral is "partial 16S ribosomal RNA". It matches the Rfam family "Bacterial small subunit ribosomal RNA", at positions 524 to 776 of the family's 1533-position model. The record is from RNAcentral.